Molecule: non-coding RNA, 788 nt
Organism: Macaca mulatta (Rhesus monkey)
Lineage: Eukaryota; Metazoa; Chordata; Mammalia; Primates; Cercopithecidae
Source: RefSeq, a predicted model, not a curated record
AUGACUGAUUCAUGAGUAGAGUUCAAAAAUAAUACUAAAAUACUAGGUCAUUAAUGAUUCCAAUAAAAUAGGGAAAGUUUGCAGUGAAAGAACUGAGAACAUUGGGACUCAAAAAGGAAACUAACAGAAGCAAAUGACAGCUCUGGGUUUUUGCAACCUAUACAGGAACCUUAACAGAGGCAGUGAGACAAUCAAAAAAAGAACGUCAUGAUCCAAAGACAUCACUGGGCUCAUGAAGGAUGUCAUCACCAGUCUGCAUGGUAACUAAAGAAUGAGAGGUGGAAGACAGAAAGAGAAAACCAUAUGAAAAAAGACACACAUUUCUGAAAAAGUGUCCUGUCUUUGAAGAGUGGCAAAUACUAUUCCGUUUUUGAGUACGGAAAUAGAUCCAACUUGGAAUUAUAAAACAGAAUGCUAAGAAUCAACCUGAGUGAGGAGAGAGAUAAAUGGAAGAACUGUUAGGCAAAAAUGAACCAGAACUUGAAGACUUGGAAAAUUACCAGAUUAUUUAUAUUGCAAAAUAAUACCAAAGAAUUUUGGGAAGAGAACAUCAAGGAUAUGACUGGGCUAGAAAGAUCUGCUAGAAAAAUUACAGGAUAUCAUUCAAUGUGGAGGAGAACAGCUGGAACCUAAUGACACCCUGGAGGUUUCUUGGUUACUGUUUUUAGAAAACAGAAGAAAACCUUCCUCAUUCCAGGUAAUACAUAAAAAUAACACUUUAACACAAAGUGUUCAUCCUGCCUGUAUGCUUCCCCUAAAAUGCCCUGUAAGCAACUCAGAAUUAAACA